RNAcentral lists this transfer RNA (83 nucleotides) under Phycisphaerales bacterium. Its description in RNAcentral is "tRNA-Tyr". It matches the Rfam family "tRNA". From Rfam's summary of the family: Transfer RNA (tRNA) molecules are approximately 80 nucleotides in length. Lineage: Bacteria; Pseudomonadati; Planctomycetota; Phycisphaerae; Phycisphaerales. The record is from RNAcentral.
GGGCGGAUGCCAGAGUGGACAAAUGGAACAGACUGUAAAUCUGUCGGCGAAAGCCUUCGGGGGUUCGAAUCCCUCUCCGCCCA